This 254-nucleotide ribosomal RNA is filed under the name uncultured bacterium. RNAcentral describes it as "partial 16S ribosomal RNA". It matches the Rfam family "Bacterial small subunit ribosomal RNA", at positions 99 to 354 of the family's 1533-position model. The record is from RNAcentral.
CGAACGGGCGAGUAAUACAUCGGAACGUGUCCGCUCGUGGGGGACAACCAGCCGAAAGGUUGGCUAAUACCGCAUGAGUUCUACGGAAGAAAGAGGGGGACCCGCAAGGGCCUCUCGCGAGCGGAGCGGCCGAUGACUGAUUAGCCGGUUGGUGAGGUAACGGCUCACCAAAGCAACGAUCAGUAGCUGGUCUGAGAGGACGACCAGCCACACUGGGACUGAGACACGGCCCAGACUCCUACGGGAGGCAGCAG